GAUGAACGCUGGCGGCGUGCCUAAUACAUGCAAGUCGAGCGAACGGACGAGAAGCUUGCUUCUCUGAUGUUAGCGGCGGACGGGUGAGUAACACGUGGAUAACCUACCUAUAAGACUGGGAUAAAUUCGGGAAACCGGAGCUAAUACCGGCUGAUAUUUUGAACCGCAUGGUUCAAAAGUGAAAGACGGUCUUGCUGUCACUUAUAGAUGGAUCCGCGCUGCAUUAGCUAGUUGGUAAGGUAACGGCUUACCAAGGCAACGAUGCAUAGCCGACCUGAGAGGGUGAUCAGCCACACUGGAACUGAGACACGGUCCAGACUCCUACGGGAGGCAGCAGUAGGGAAUCUUCCGCAAUGGGCGAAAGCCUGACGGAGCAACGCCGCGUGAGUGAUGAAGGUCUUCGGAUCGUAAAACUCUGUUAUUAGGGAAGAACAUAUGUGUAAGUAACUGUGCACAUCUUGACGGUACCUAAUCAGAAAGCCACGGCUAACUACGUG
RNAcentral lists this ribosomal RNA (497 nucleotides) under uncultured bacterium. Its description in RNAcentral is "partial 16S ribosomal RNA". It matches the Rfam family "Bacterial small subunit ribosomal RNA", at positions 28 to 507 of the family's 1533-position model. The record is from RNAcentral.